AACAGGGAUUGCCCUAGUAACGGCGAGUGAAGCGGCAACAGCUCAAAUUUGAAAUCUGGCCUCGGCCCGAGUUGUAAUUUGCAGAGGAUGCUUCUGGCGCGGUGCCUUCCGAGUUCCCUGGAACGGGACGCCACAGAGGGUGAGAGCCCCGUAUGGUCGGACACCAAGCCUGUGUGAAGCUCCUUCGACGAGUCGAGUAGUUUGGGAAUGCUGCUCUAAAUGGGAGGUAAAUCUCUUCUAAAGCUAAAUACCGGCCAGAGACCGAUAGCGCACAAGUAGAGUGAUCGAAAGAUGAAAAGCACCUUGAAAAGGGGGUUAAAUAGUACGUGAAAUUGUUGAAAGGGAAGCACUUAUGACCAGACUUGGGCCGGGCGGCUCAUCAGGGGUUCUCCCCUGUGCACUCCGCCCGGCACAGGCCAGCAUCGGUUUUCGCGGGGGGAUAAGACCGACGGGAACGUAGCACCCUCCGGGGUGUGUUAUAGCCCGGCGGACGAUACCCUCGCGGGGACCGAGGACCGCGCUUCGGCAAGGAUGCUG
RNAcentral lists this ribosomal RNA (537 nucleotides) under Phomopsis sp. ER 1644. RNAcentral's name for it is "eukaryotic LSU rRNA". It matches the Rfam family "Eukaryotic large subunit ribosomal RNA", at positions 67 to 628 of the family's 3401-position model. The record is from RNAcentral. Lineage: Eukaryota; Fungi; Ascomycota; Sordariomycetes; Diaporthales; Diaporthaceae.